Molecule: ribosomal RNA, 911 nt
Filed under: Alteromonas sp.
Lineage: Bacteria; Pseudomonadati; Pseudomonadota; Gammaproteobacteria; Alteromonadales; Alteromonadaceae
Description: bacterial SSU rRNA
Rfam family: Bacterial small subunit ribosomal RNA
Source: RNAcentral
UGCANGUCGAACGGUAGCAGGAAGUGCUUGCACUUUGCUGACGAGUGGCGGACGGGUGAGUAAUGCUUGGGAACUUGCCUUUGCGAGGGGGAUAACAGUUGGAAACGACUGCUAAUACCGCAUAAUGUCUACGGACCAAACGGGGCUUAGGCUUCGGCGCAGAGAGAGGCCCAAGUGAGAUUAGCUAGUUGGUGGGGUAAAGGCUCACCAAGGCGACGAUCUCUAGCUGUUCUGAGAGGAAGAUCAGCCACACUGGGACUGAGACACGGCCCAGACUCCUACGGGAGGCAGCAGUGGGGAAUAUUGCACAAUGGGGGGAACCCUGAUGCAGCCAUGCCGCGUGUGUGAAGAAGGCCUUCGGGUUGUAAAGCACUUUCAGUUGUGAGGAAAAGUGAGUAGUUAAUACCUGCUCACCGUGACGUUAACAACAGAAGAAGCACCGGCUAACUCCGUGCCAGCAGCCGCGGUAAUACGGAGGGUGCGAGCGUUAAUCGGAAUUACUGGGCGUAAAGCGCACGCAGGCGGUUUGUUAAGCUAGAUGUGAAAGCCCCGAGCUCAACUUGGGAUGGUCAUUUAGAACUGGCAGACUAGAGUCUUGGAGAGGGGAGUGGAAUUCCAGGUGUAGCGGUGAAAUGCGUAGAUAUCUGGAGGAACAUCAGUGGCGAAGGCGACUCCCUGGCCAAAGACUGACGCUCAUGUGCGAAAGUGUGGGUAGCGAACAGGAUUAGAUACCCUGGUAGUCCACACCGUAAACGCUGUCUACUAGCUGUUUGUGGCUUUAAGCCGUGAGUAGCGAAGCUAACGCGAUAAGUAGACCGCCUGGGGAGUACGGCCGCAAGGUUAAAACUCAAAUGAAUUGACGGGGGCCCGCACAAGCGGUGGAGCAUGUGGUUUAAUUCGAUGCAACGCGA